Molecule: long non-coding RNA, 713 nt
Organism: Nomia melanderi (Alkali bee)
Lineage: Eukaryota; Metazoa; Arthropoda; Insecta; Hymenoptera; Halictidae
Source: RefSeq, a predicted model, not a curated record
CCGGUUCUUGUCUGCGUCCGUCCGCUAACGUUCGGUCAAGUUCGUUGUGGAAGCCACGAAAAACUAACCGAUAAAAUCCCCCAAACUGAGGGAAAAUACGAGUGAAACCGCCGGGCAUGUCGGAUACGUCACUUUUACUCUGGCUCGACUUAACCUUUAACCCUUCCGUCCCAAAUGGUGUAACUUGGAAAGCUUUAGGAGAAAGGAAGUGAGAGUGUUCGUCCAGGAUCUAAAUACCAGUGGACUCGUCAGUAAGGCAGAAUCUGCUAGACCCGUACCUUAGACGUUGGGACGAGCGUUGGCUUUUUUUUAUCAGGCGGGGCCUGAUCGGUGAUUAUCGGAAAAUGUAGGAAAGAGAAUAGUCUCGGCUAUAUUCUCAUAAAAUUCUGAAACAGAAUAUAAAAAAUAUUAGAUGAUAACUGCGGAGGAGUGGUUAGGUUGACAUACUAUACAUGAAGUAAGAAGUUGCAAAAAAAUUUUCAAAAAAUCUACAUACAUAAGACGCUAAGUCAGGUGUAGUAGGAAUUUUACUGAAUCUUAUAUGCAAAUUAUGUACGAACUGAGUAGGAGCGAGAAAGAUCUUGGUGCGCUAGCCCUCUAUUGGCGGAGUUCUGGAAGCCUGGCGCCUUAAUACUAUUGCUAUAUAGAGAUAUUUAAACUUCCAUACUGAAAAGUUAAUGCGGAUACUGUCGAAGGGAACGAUAAAAGAUGAA